CUACGGGGCGCUGCAGUGGGGAAUAUUGCACAAUGGGCGCAAGCCUGAUGCAGCCAUGCCGCGUGUAUGAAGAAGGCCUUCGGGUUGUAAAGUACUUUCAGCGGGGAGGAAGGGAGUAAAGUUAAUACCUUUGCUCAUUGACGUUACCCGCAGAAGAAGCACCGGCUAAGUCCGUGCCAGCAGCCGCGGUAAUACGGAGGGUGCAAGCGUUAAUCGGAAUUACUGGGCGUAAAGCGCACGCAGGCGGUUUGUUAAGUCAGAUGUGAAAUCCCCGGGCUCAACCUGGGAACUGAAUCUGAUAGUGGCAAGCUUGAGUCUCGUAGAGGGUGGUAGAAUGCCAGGUGUAGCGGUGAAAUGCGUAGAGAUCUGGAGGAAUACCGGUGGCGAAGGCGGCCCCCUGGACGAAGACUGACGCUCAGGUGCGAAAGCGUGGGGAGCAAACAGGAUUAGAUACCCCCGUAGUC
This 464-nucleotide ribosomal RNA is filed under the name uncultured bacterium. RNAcentral's name for it is "partial 16S ribosomal RNA". It matches the Rfam family "Bacterial small subunit ribosomal RNA", at positions 339 to 795 of the family's 1533-position model. The record is from RNAcentral.